GAAUAGUAAUCAUGGCUCUAUAAAAGGAGAUGACCAUAGGCAUCAAUCACAGAUCACAAACAAGUAACUAACUUGCUAGUUGUUUGAGUAAAGAAUUGAAGGAGUGGAAUGGCUACAAAUCAGGAAGAGGUGAAGCUUUUGGGAAUUGUGGGAAGCCCAUUUGUGUGCAGAGUGCAGAUUGCUCUUAGUUUGAAGGGAAUUGAAUACAAAUAUCAGCCAGAAAAGUUGGACAACAAGAGUGAUCUGCUCCUCAAAUACAACCCAGUUUACAAGAAGGUUCCUGUUUUUGUUCAUAAUGAGAAACCCAUAUCAGAAUCCCUUGUGAUUGUUGAGUACAUUGAUGAAACAUGGAAAGACCACCCCAUCUUGCCUGCUGAGCCUUACCAGAAAGCCUUGGCUCGUUUCUGGUCCAAGUUCAUAGAUGACAAGUGUGUGGCUGCUGCAUGGAAAGCUGCAUUCACCCUUGAUGAGAAAGAGCGUGAGAAGAGUGUUGCAGAAUCAUAUGAGGCUCUGCAGUUCCUUGAGGAUGAGCUCAAGGACAAGUUCUUUGGUGGUGAGGAAUUUGGCUUUGUGGAUAUUGCUGCUGUGUUCAUAGCCUUCUGGAUCCCUAUUAUUCAAGAAGUAGCAGGGCUGCAAUUGUUCACCAGUGACAAAUUUCCCAAGCUCUACAAAUGGAGCCAAGAAUUUAGCAACCACCCUGUUGUGAAGGAAUCCCUGCCUCCUAGAGAGCCACUCUUUGCCUUCUUCAAAGCUCGCUAUGAAAGUCUUGCUGCUUCAAAGUAGAUUCAUUUAAGAGAUACUCAUAAUUUGCAAGGGAAACUGUAAAAGGUUUCGGAAUCCGAAUAUGAACAAGGAGGGGUAACUACUUCAGGCUAGUUUGUGCUAGAGAGGGUCGUCCACGACAAAAAAAUGAUAAAGAUGUUGCUCAAGUUUGUUAGACCAAAUUUAAGAAGACAUCAUCAUUAUGCAUUGGGUGUGGAGCUUGUGUAAGUGCUUAUAAAAGUGAAAACACAAAAAUGUGAAAAAUUACACAAUUUUACGACAACCAUAAUCAUGGUCUUGUGACUCCAAAGAGUGUUUGUUAUCUCAGAUCACACAAAAAAAUGUUUGAUGCUGCAAGAUUAUUGGUUGAACACUUUAGUGAUGCAAGCUUGCCCACAGGAAAAGUGGCUACCAUCUUCAAAGACGAUGAGUUAUCAUUUGACAGUCGAGAUUGUUAUAAUCAUCUAAAAAGUGAGGAGAAGAAUAUAUAACACAGGAGAUGCACAAGCUAUGUUACACUAUUGUGUUAAACAACAACCAUUGAAUCCAAAGUUCUUUUAUUCCAUUAAAUGUGACGAUGAAGAUCGCAUGGAAAGCUUUUUUUGGAUUGACGCAAGGUCCAGGCAAGCUUAUGAGCUAUUUGGUGAUGUCAUCACAUUUGACACGACAUACAGAACUAAUAAAUAUUCAAUGCCAUUUGGACCUUUUGUCGGUGUAAAUAAUCAUUUACAGUCAAUCUUGUUUGGAUGUGCUUUAUUGAAAGACGAAACAGAAGAUACUUUUGUGUGGCUAUUUAAGGAAUGGCUUCGAGGAAUGGAUGGGAAACAUCCGGGCACCAUAAUUACUGAUCAGGACAUGUCAAUUACCAAUGCAGUAUCCAAAGUUUUCCAAAAAAGCAAGCAUCGAUUUUGUAUGUGGCACAUCACAAAAAGUUUCCAGAAAAAUUGUCUCAUGUCUAUCAGCAGCAUGCCACAUUUAAGAGUGAUUUCA
This is an RNA transcript of Gastrolobium bilobum, 1752 nucleotides long. It is a transcript of the gene named probable glutathione S-transferase, with no coding region annotated. NCBI's taxonomy places the organism in Eukaryota, Viridiplantae, Streptophyta, Magnoliopsida, Fabales, Fabaceae. The record is from RefSeq and is a predicted model, not a curated record. The transcript has 4 exons.